RNAcentral lists this microRNA (22 nucleotides) under Ornithorhynchus anatinus (platypus). Its description in RNAcentral is "Oan-Mir-1421-P54_3p* (star (passenger))". The record is from RNAcentral. Lineage: Eukaryota; Metazoa; Chordata; Mammalia; Monotremata; Ornithorhynchidae.
AGCAUGGCGUGUGACCUCCGGA